Pelobates cultripes (western spadefoot toad) is the source of this 75-nucleotide non-coding RNA. NCBI's taxonomy places the organism in Eukaryota, Metazoa, Chordata, Amphibia, Anura, Pelobatidae. The record is from the annotation of a GenBank genome assembly.
CCUAUCACCUUUCGAUGGUACUUUCUGCGCCUACCAUGGUGGCCACGGGUAACGGGGAAUCAGGGUUCGAUUCUG